UUCAUCAAACUCUCUCCGCCGUGCAACCCUCUUCAAUCGCCGUCAAUAACUCAUACACCGUGGAUUUCAUCUUCACACGCUGUUCACCUUCAAACCUCACGAUUCCGAUUCCGCGGUGCAAAUCUCCAAAGCCAACUCACGAAUCAACGAUCUCUACCAACCUAUCCAAGCAUCUCUCCGUGUCAAUCAAUCGACUCGCAACCCACCCUUUGCGAGUUAUCACUUUUG
Molecule: long non-coding RNA, 228 nt
Filed under: Lathyrus oleraceus (garden pea)
Lineage: Eukaryota; Viridiplantae; Streptophyta; Magnoliopsida; Fabales; Fabaceae
Description: Pisum sativum (pea) long non-coding RNA (PSAT_LNC012819)
Source: RNAcentral